This 468-nucleotide ribosomal RNA is filed under the name uncultured bacterium. Its description in RNAcentral is "partial 16S ribosomal RNA". It matches the Rfam family "Bacterial small subunit ribosomal RNA", at positions 28 to 507 of the family's 1533-position model. The record is from RNAcentral.
GACGAACGCUGGCGGCGUGCUUAACACAUGCAAGUCGAACGGAAAGGCCCUGCUUUUGUGGGGUGCUCGAGUGGCGAACGGGUGAGUAACACGUGAGUAACCUGCCCUUGACUGUGGGAUAACUUCAGGAAACUGGGGCUAAUACCGGAUAGGAGCUCCUGCUGCAUGGGGGGGGUUGGACAGUUUCGGCGGUUGGGGAUGGACUCGCGGCUUAUCAGCUUGUUGGUGGGGUAGUGGCUUACCAAGGCUUUGACGGGUAGCCGGCCUGAGAGGGUGACCGGCCACCUUGGGACUGAGAUACGGCCCAGACUCCUACGGGAGGCAGCAGUGGGGAAUAUUGCACAAUGGGCGGAAGCCUGAUGCAGCAACGCCGCGUGCGGGAUGACGGCCUUCGGGUUGUAAACCGCUUUCGCCUGUGACGAAGCGUGAGUGACGGUAAUGGGUAAAGAAGCACCGGCUAACUACGUG